Molecule: long non-coding RNA, 204 nt
Filed under: Elaeis guineensis (African oil palm)
Lineage: Eukaryota; Viridiplantae; Streptophyta; Magnoliopsida; Arecales; Arecaceae
Description: long non-coding RNA (EGUI_LNC078751)
Source: RNAcentral
GGUAUCAUCCUGCAGCAAUAAGAAUCUUAUUUUGCGAUGUCGCCUCUCAUCCUCUCGAGUCUCCUGUCUCGUGCUCGAUCCACCUCCACCUGGAGCUCCAUCUCGCUCUGGGCUUCACCUGGCUCUUGAAGCUCCACCUCGCACUGAGCUCCCUGCCAGGUAAUAAUAUCCUCUUCUCUCCUUCCUCCCCUCCAGUACAGUCCU